Molecule: long non-coding RNA, 1746 nt
Organism: Bacillus rossius redtenbacheri
Lineage: Eukaryota; Metazoa; Arthropoda; Insecta; Phasmatodea; Bacillidae
Exons: 2
Source: RefSeq, a predicted model, not a curated record
GUUAUUGUUUACAUAUUUUGGAAACUUUAUGCUCUGGCGAUGAAUGUUGCCAUAUAUAUGUAAAACUGGGUAUUUUAGAUUGAAAUAUAUUGUUUUAAAAGGUUUCAAUACAACAGCAUUAAUUCUCACAAGGUUUGUAAUUUUUAUGAUUGAUGGAUCAAAAAAUUGCGACUUUGUGGGUUGACUAAGUGACAAAAACUGCUUGUCACAAAGUCACCCCAAAAUGUUUUCAAACAUGCAACUUAUUUUUUUUUUCCUUCUCAGUGCACGUAAAGUAGGCUGGAACAUGCCACGAACUUACAAAAGAUGACUGGGUGCCCGGCCAUGUAAAAAUUACACGUAGAAUCACCUUGAAGAAGCAGUGAAUGUUGUUAGAUCAAAAAAAUUUACCCUCAGAGAAGCUUCAGAUAAGUAUGGCAUACACAGAACACACUAUGGAAAAAAAACCAAGGAGAAAGCAACAAAGACUGUCGAAGGUCAAACAGUGUUUAGUGAGGUGGAAGAAUAGUGUUUGGAGUCACAUAUAAUUGCAAUGUCUACAUAUGGUUUCCCAGUGACAUCAUUUGAUCUUAGGUGUGUUGCUAAAGCGUAUCUUGACCGCAGUGGAAAGACUGUAGCUUGUUUCCGCAACAACUUUCCUGACCAUGAUUGGGCAAUAUCAUUAAUGAAGAGGCACGAAAAUGUAAUCUCCCAAUGAACAGCAAAGAAUAUAAGUUAUUCCAGAGCUGCAACGCUGCAACAGAUCAAGACGUUGUGAACAACCUUUUCGACAAUCUUGAAAAAGAGGUCCAGAAUGUUCCUGCUUCAAAUAUCUGGAACUAUGAUGAGACAAAUCUUGUAGAUGAUCCAGGCAACAAGAAAAUUCUCACAAAAAGGGGAACUAAGUAUCUGGAACAAAUAUGUAAUGCAUCAAAGGCCUGCACAUCGAUAAUGGUUUGUGGUAAUGCUGAGGGCUUUGUAGCACCAUUAUAUGUUAACUACAAGGCAGAAAAGUUAUGGUCAACAUGGACAGAAGGUGGACCAGAUGGUGCGUGCUACAACAGGAUGAAAUCUGGUUGGUUUGAUCACCAAUCAUUUGAAGAUUGGUUCAUGUCACUCUUCCUGCCCAUUCUUAAAAAACAAGAUGGUGUGAAGGUCAUCAUCGGUGACAGUUUAAGCUCACACAUAUACCUGGAGGUUUUACGUCUAUGCAAAGAAAACAACAUAAAGUUUGUGGCUCUACCACCUAACUCGACACACUUGCUACAAACAUUAGAUGUGGCAUAUUUUCGUCCUAUGAACAGCCAAUGGCGAAAGGUUCUUGCAGAUUAGAAACAGAGUGCAUAUGAUAGUAAGUGUGCGGCCAUACCUAAGGAUCAGUUCCCAAGACUGCUUAAGAGCCUAAUUGAUGCCAUUGGAAACAGUAGGUCAAAUUUGAAAGCAGGCUUCAAAAAGUCAGGGAUAUAUCCUUUGGAUAGGACUCAAGUCCUUAGGAGAAUGCCAUCUUACAUUUUGGAACGAAUUGGAUCAUGUGACAGGUGUCAUUGGAGAUAGUUUCCUUCAAAAGCUUGAAGACACAAAAUGCAGCAACACAAAAAAGAACAGUACAAAGGUGCAAGAAUUUGAAUGUCCCUCCUGGGAAAAGUAUUGGCUCAAGCGAUAUUGGUGUACGUGAUGUACCUGCCAGCACGUCCACAGCAUGUGAAAAUGUUGAAAGUCAACAUCGCAUAAAUGAAAUGACACGUCCGAGAGCAUUAUCAGUACACA